CGGGGCGUGGCGCAGUCUGGUAGCGCGCACGCUUGGGGUGCGUGAGGUCACCGGUUCAAAUCCGGUCGCCCCGACCA
RNAcentral lists this transfer RNA (77 nucleotides) under Deltaproteobacteria bacterium RIFCSPLOWO2_12_FULL_60_19. RNAcentral's name for it is "tRNA-Pro". It matches the Rfam family "tRNA". Rfam says of the family: Transfer RNA (tRNA) molecules are approximately 80 nucleotides in length. Their secondary structure includes four short double-helical elements and three loops (D, anti-codon, and T loops). Further hydrogen bonds mediate the characteristic L-shaped molecular structure. tRNAs have two regions of fundamental functional importance: the anti-codon, which is responsible for specific mRNA codon recognition, and the 3' end, to which the tRNAs corresponding amino acid is attached (by aminoacyl-tRNA synthetases). tRNAs cope with the degeneracy of the genetic code in two manners: having more than one tRNA (with a specific anti-codon) for a particular amino acid; and 'wobble' base-pairing, i.e. permitting non-standard base-pairing at the 3rd anti-codon position. Lineage: Bacteria; Deltaproteobacteria. RNAcentral also lists the same sequence under 3 other names. The record is from RNAcentral.